GGGGAUUUAGUUCAGUGGUAGAACGCUUGCCUAGCAAGCGCAAGGCCCUGGGUUCAGUCCCCA
RNAcentral lists this transfer RNA (63 nucleotides) under Rattus norvegicus (Norway rat). It matches the Rfam family "tRNA". From Rfam's summary of the family: Transfer RNA (tRNA) molecules are approximately 80 nucleotides in length. Their secondary structure includes four short double-helical elements and three loops (D, anti-codon, and T loops). The record is from Rfam by way of RNAcentral. Lineage: Eukaryota; Metazoa; Chordata; Mammalia; Rodentia; Muridae.